CCGUGAUAAAGUAGCAUAAUCACUCGUCAUUUAAUUGGUGACUGGAAUGAAUGGUUACACGAAUCUUUAACUGUCUCAAGAAGAAAGUUCAAUUAAUUUGAAAAAACAGUGAAGAUGCUGUUAACAAAAUUGUAAGACGAAAAGACCCUUUCGAGCUUUACUAUAAGCUUAUAGAAAAAAUCUUUAAUAAAAAUAUAAUAAAAACAAACUAUAAGCUAGUUAGUUUGGUUGGGGCGACCACCUCUAAAACAGUAUCAGAGGAAAUCUAAAGGUAUAAUAGUAAUAUUAAUUGCCUUACUGUAUACAAACAAGUUAAUCAGUUACUAUUAUGUAGGAUAUAAUGACCCGUUGAAUUAAUUUCAAAAUUCAACGACCAUGAAAAAAGUUACCGUAGGGAUAACAGGGUAAUAUUAUCAAAGAGUUCAUAUCGAUGAUGAU
Molecule: ribosomal RNA, 438 nt
Filed under: Nemopilema nomurai
Lineage: Eukaryota; Metazoa; Cnidaria; Scyphozoa; Rhizostomeae; Rhizostomatidae
Description: partial 16S ribosomal RNA
Rfam family: Bacterial large subunit ribosomal RNA
Source: RNAcentral